Molecule: ribosomal RNA, 467 nt
Filed under: uncultured bacterium
Lineage: Bacteria
Description: partial 16S ribosomal RNA
Rfam family: Bacterial small subunit ribosomal RNA
Source: RNAcentral
GACGAACGCUGGCGGCGUGCUUAACACAUGCAAGUCGAACGGAAAGGCCCUGCUUUUGUGGGGUGCUCGAGUGGCGAACGGGUGAGUAACACGUGAGUAACCUGCCCUUGACUUUGGGAUAACUUCAGGAAAAUGGGGCUAAUACCGGAUAGGAGCUCCUGCUGCAUGGUGGGGGUUGGAAAGUUUCGGCGGUUGGGGAUGGACUCGCGGCUUAUCAGCUUGUUGGUGGGGUAGUGGCUUACCAAGGCUUUGACGGGUAGCCGGCCUGGGAGGGAGACCGGGUCCAUAGGCCUAGGGGAGCCGGCCGUACGGAUUCGGGAGGCAGCGGUGGGGACUUUUGCACAAUGGGCGGAGGCCUGAUGCAGCAUCGCCGCGUGCGGGAUGACGGCCUUCGGGUUGUAAACCGCUUUCGCCUGUGACGGAGCGUGAGUGACGGUAAUGGGUAAAGAAGCACCGGCUAACUACGU